RNAcentral lists this small RNA (53 nucleotides) under Arabidopsis thaliana (thale cress). RNAcentral's name for it is "ATSL165750". Lineage: Eukaryota; Viridiplantae; Streptophyta; Magnoliopsida; Brassicales; Brassicaceae. The record is from RNAcentral.
AUUUAUACAAAACGAAAUAAAAUGAUAGUAGACGGGCCAAUAACCUAAUCGCC